CGUGUAGGCGGCCUUUCAAGUCGGAUGUGAAAGCCCGGGGCUCAACCCCGGAAUUGCAUCCGAUACUGUUGGGCUUGAGUGCGGGAGAGGGAAGUGGAAUUCCCAGUGUAGAGGUGAAAUUCGUUGAUAUUGGGAGGAACACCCGAGGCGAAAGCGGCUUCCUGGCCUAGCACUGACGCUGAGACGCGAAAGCGUGGGGAGCAAACA
This 207-nucleotide ribosomal RNA is filed under the name uncultured bacterium. Its description in RNAcentral is "partial 16S ribosomal RNA". It matches the Rfam family "Bacterial small subunit ribosomal RNA", at positions 568 to 774 of the family's 1533-position model. The record is from RNAcentral.